ACUCCAAAUUAAACUUAAUACAACAGAAAUCUCAUGUAAUAAUCAUGGGGGUUAUGGUAUAUGAGGCGAUGUGAACAAGGUGGUAACCUCAAAUCAUGCAAAGGAGAAGUUUAAAUACCAAAUCGGAGCUAGUUCGACGUUCGACUCCGGUCAAGGCGAGGUAAACGAUUUCUUUAGCGUCUUUCGAGGUUCCUUCUUCCUUCUUCUGAACUUUCCGUCUUCUUCGCUUCUUCUCUUUCUCUUUCCUUCUUACGUCGCCGCUAUGGCGGUAGUAACCGUUUUAGGGUAGUCUGGGGCUUUAGCUCGAGUUUGCUGAGUUUCAAUAUGAAAUUUCAACAAACUCCAAAAGAAAGAUUAUAGCUUUAGUGAUGUUUUGAUUCUAUUUCUGCAGAGUAACGGCGCUGGAAAAGGUCCCUUUAUCCCAGUGAUGGAUGCUCUUUAUAUAGAGCUUUGGAGGUACGAGGUUUCUCACUCCUGAGCUGGC
Molecule: long non-coding RNA, 484 nt
Filed under: Lathyrus oleraceus (garden pea)
Lineage: Eukaryota; Viridiplantae; Streptophyta; Magnoliopsida; Fabales; Fabaceae
Description: Pisum sativum (pea) long non-coding RNA (PSAT_LNC042178)
Source: RNAcentral